Molecule: transfer RNA, 77 nt
Filed under: Hydrogenophilus thermoluteolus
Lineage: Bacteria; Pseudomonadati; Pseudomonadota; Hydrogenophilia; Hydrogenophilales; Hydrogenophilaceae
Also listed under: 52 other names
Description: tRNA-Arg
Rfam family: tRNA
About the family: Transfer RNA (tRNA) molecules are approximately 80 nucleotides in length. Their secondary structure includes four short double-helical elements and three loops (D, anti-codon, and T loops).
Source: RNAcentral
GCGCCCGUAGCUCAGUUGGAUAGAGUACCUGGCUACGAACCAGGUGGUCGGAGGUUCGAAUCCUUCCGGGCGCGCCA